CCAGCAGCCGCGGUAAUUCCAGCUCCAAAAGCAUAUGCUAACGUUGUUGCAGUUAAAAGGCUCGUAGUCGAAUUUAUGGCCCUGUGAACCUGGCCCAUCCUCUAGUAGGGUGCGGUCGGUGUGCACGGGUCAUUUUUCUGGAGAGCAAUUCUGCCCUUGAUUGGGUUGGUCUUGUGAUUCAGAACAUUUACUGUGAGUAAAUCAAAGUGUUCAAAGCAGGCAGCAAUGCUUGUAUGGUUCAGCAUGGAAUAAUAAGAUAUGACUUUGGUUUUAUUUUGUUGGCUAUAGAACCAAAGUAAUGAUUGAAAGGGAUAGUUGGGGGUGCUAGUAUUCAAUGGUCAGCGGUGAAAUGCGAGGACCCAUUGAAGACUAACUUAUGCGAAAGCAUUCACCAAGGAUAUCUUCUUUGAUCAAGAACGAAAGG
This 424-nucleotide ribosomal RNA is filed under the name uncultured eukaryote. Its description in RNAcentral is "SSU rRNA". It matches the Rfam family "Eukaryotic small subunit ribosomal RNA", at positions 567 to 990 of the family's 1831-position model. The record is from RNAcentral.